UUGGUGCACUCCCGUAGGAGAAUAGUUAAGUACAUUAUGGCAUAUCCUUUGCUAGGAGAAUUAGGUGGCGUCGAAAAGGUCGACGGGUCUUGCAGAGACAGGGACCUGCCCACCCUCGUGCGCCUUCGCGCACUGAUGGGAAGCCAACACCGUGGAGUCGUCGGGAGCCCCAGGAAGCAGGUCUCAGGCCCGACGGUCCUACGUGUCUAGGAGUGGAAGCCCAGAAAGGGGAAGUGACUUGCCCAAGAAAACAGUGCAUGAAACCAAGAUCUAAAUCUGCUGCUUGGGAUCUUCCUGCUGGUCCUUGACAAUGCAAGAAGUUCCAAUGCUGGAUAAACUUGAUGAAGACCUCAGCUGCCAAUCAAAUCUAGCCAAGAGCCAAUACUCGAGCUGUGAAAUAAUUCAUUAGUACAUUGUCUAGUGCUGAAUCCAUUUUUACUUAGCUGUUCGAUAUGUAACAAGAUCAAAUCAGAGUGGACUCUUGGCACUCAUUCCUAGCUGCCUCAUUGGAAAAGACACGAGCUAGCUUGAUAAUGAUGAAGCAUGAUGCUCGGGGGGGAUGAGGGGGUGAGGGGUGGGGUUUCGCAGUGGUAUCCUAAGGAAGUGUUGAUCCAGUGGGCCUUUCUCGGCUGAGAAUGCCUUUCUUCCAAUUUUUGUUUCUUCAUGUCCACCUUUGAAGCCAGGGGCAGUGUUUGGAGAAGGACAUGCUCUCUCUUCCAUAAAUCUUUCCUUGUGUCCUUACCCCAUUUUGGUUAUUCACCAUCUACAGAAGGUGAGCCUAUGGAUCCCUGAGGCCUACUUCA
Mustela lutreola (European mink) is the source of this 803-nucleotide long non-coding RNA. RefSeq lists it as uncharacterized. Lineage: Eukaryota; Metazoa; Chordata; Mammalia; Carnivora; Mustelidae. The transcript has 3 exons. The record is from RefSeq and is a predicted model, not a curated record.